GGGCGAUUAGCUCAGUUGGUUUAGAGCGCACGGUUCACAUCCGUGAGGUCAUAGGUUCAAGUCCUAUAUCGCCCACUA
This 78-nucleotide transfer RNA is filed under the name bacterium. Its description in RNAcentral is "tRNA-Val". It matches the Rfam family "tRNA". Rfam says of the family: Transfer RNA (tRNA) molecules are approximately 80 nucleotides in length. Their secondary structure includes four short double-helical elements and three loops (D, anti-codon, and T loops). The record is from RNAcentral.